Ficedula albicollis (Collared flycatcher) is the source of this 458-nucleotide long non-coding RNA. RefSeq lists it as uncharacterized. Lineage: Eukaryota; Metazoa; Chordata; Aves; Passeriformes; Muscicapidae. The transcript is spliced from 3 exons. The record is from RefSeq and is a predicted model, not a curated record.
UGCGGGCGGUGCGGACUGUGCGGAACCGGGAGAGCUGCGGGAACGCUGGGGGACCGGAACCGGGAGCAGUGCAGGAUCGGGACCGGGGGCGGUGCGGGACCAGACUGGGAUCGGGAGCGGGAGCGGCGCGGAACCGGGACCAGGAGUGGUGCGGGAGAUGCGGAACCGGGACCGGGACCAGGAGCAGUGCGGGCGGUGCGGAACAGGGACCAGGAUCGAGAUUGCGGGCGGUAACAAGUGACAGGACGGGAGGAAAACGGCCUCAAGUUACACCAGGAUGUUAGGAACAGCAAUGAGUGGUUCCCUUAUGGCCUGUGAGACCAAAUAAUUCCGGUAACAGACCACUGCAGCUGCUUUGCUUCCUGAUGCUCAAGAAUCUGCACAUGCUGAAUCAUCCUCACAGCACACAGCACUGCUCUCAGACCCUCCAGGACUCCCUGUGCAUCCUACAAACUCAC